This 368-nucleotide ribosomal RNA is filed under the name uncultured organism. RNAcentral describes it as "bacterial SSU rRNA". It matches the Rfam family "Bacterial small subunit ribosomal RNA", at positions 526 to 896 of the family's 1533-position model. The record is from RNAcentral.
CGGAGGAUCCGAGCGUUAUCCGGAUUUAUUGGGUUUAAAGGGUGCGUAGGCGGCCUGUUAAGUCAGGGGUGAAAGACGGUAGCUCAACUAUCGCAGUGCCCUUGAUACUGAUGGGCUUGAAUGUACUAGAGGUAGGCGGAAUGUGACAAGUAGCGGUGAAAUGCAUAGAUAUGUCACAGAACACCAAUUGCGAAGGCAGCUUACUAUGGUAUUAUUGACGCUGAGGCACGAAAGCGUGGGGAUCAAACAGGAUUAGAUACCCUGGUAGUCCACGCCCUAAACGAUGAAUACUCGAUGUUAGCGAUAUACAGUUGGCGUCAAAGCGAAAGCGUUAAGUAUUCCACCUGGGGAGUACGCCCGCAAGGGUG